GAUGAACGCUGGCGGCGUGGAUAAGGCAUGCAAGUCAAGGGGUCACUUUCGGGUGACACCGGCGAACGGGUUAGUAACACGUAGGUAACAUACCGUUAACACAGGUAUAAUCCAGAGAAAUCUGGGCUAAUCCCUGAUGGUCCCCAUGAGAUAUAAAAAUUAUCUCACGGGGUAAAGGUUUCGAGCAAUCGAUUCCGGUUGACGAAUGGCCUGCGGCCUAUCAGCUUGUUGGUGGGGUAAUAGCCUACCAAGGCAAUGACGGGUAGGGGAUGUGAGAGCAUGUUCCCCAAUAAUGGGACUGAGAUACGGCCCAUACUCCUACGGGAGGCUGCAGUCGAGAAUAUUGGACAAUGGGCGAAAGCCUGAUCCAGCGACGCCGCGUGCUUGAAGAAGCCCUUCGGGGUGUAAAGAGCUUUUCUGGGGGAAGAACCUUCGGGUGACGGUACCCCAGGAAUAAGGAGACGCUAAUCACGUGCCAGCAGCGGCGGUAAUACGUGAUCUCCAAGCGUUAUCCGGAUUUAUUGGGCGUAAAGCGUCUGUAGGCGGCUGGAAAAGUCUUUGGUUAAAUACCCAGGGCUCAACCUUGGGAAUGCUUGAGAUACUUUCUGGCUAGAGGGUGUUAGGGGCUGAUGGAACGGUCGGUGUAGGGGUGAAAUCCGUUGAUAUCGACCGGAACACCAAAAGCGAAGGCAUUCAGCUGGAGCGAUCCUGACGCUGAGAGACGAAAGCGUGGGUAGCGAACGGGAUUAGAUACCCCGGUAGUCCACGCUGUAAACGAUGGACACUAGCUAUUGGAAGUGUCGACCCUACCAGUGGCGAAGCUAACGCGUUAAGUGUCCCGCCUGGGAAGUACGGCCGCAAGGCUGAAACUCAAAGGAAUAGACGGGGACUCACACAAGCGGUGGACCAUGUGGCUUAAUUCGAUAAUAAGCGAGGAACCUUACCAGGACUUGACACUCUAGUGAAAUUCUGCCGAAAGGUAGAACUACCCACAAGGACACUAGAGCAGGUGCUGCAUGGUUGUCGUCAGCAGGUGCUUUGAAGUGCUCCCUUUAAUGGGGAAACCUGCGCAACCCUUACUCUGUGUUUUAUUUGUCACGGAGGACUGCCCGAGACAAUCGGGAGGAAGGUGAGGAUGACGCCAAAUCAGCAUGGCCCUUUGAUGUCCUGGGCUGCACACGUGGUACAAUGGGGCCGACAAUGGGUCGCCAAGGGGUAACCCGGAGCUAAUCCCAUCAAACGGUCUCUUAGUUCGGAUUGAGGUCUGCAACUUGACCUCAUGAAGCUGGAAUCGCUAGUAAUCGCCAAUCAGCCAUGUGGCGAUGAAUACGUUACUGAGUCUUGUACUCACCGCCCGUCACAUUAGGGAAGCCGGCGGUAGCCGAA
This 1386-nucleotide ribosomal RNA is filed under the name uncultured bacterium. Its description in RNAcentral is "16S ribosomal RNA". It matches the Rfam family "Bacterial small subunit ribosomal RNA". The record is from RNAcentral.